Molecule: long non-coding RNA, 405 nt
Filed under: Bos taurus (domestic cattle)
Lineage: Eukaryota; Metazoa; Chordata; Mammalia; Artiodactyla; Bovidae
Description: long non-coding RNA NONBTAT025376
Source: RNAcentral
CUACUGUGUGCACAAAUUCUCUGUAAUCUAUCAUGUUUGAGAAUAUUGGAUAUUAUGGUUAAUAAGCUCUUGCGACUUACAAGCUUUAUGCAGCAUAUGUGUACCUAUAUUCUAAACAGAUUUGUGAAGUAGGCAAAAUUUACCUUCGACUGUGGUAGAUCCACAGUCAAAGGAGUAGAUCCUCUGACUACUACUUCUAAGGAGUAGAUCCACCCUCCGUGAGAUCUUUCGUUGUUCACAAAGAACUUGUUCUUUUCUCUGUUGCUCUAAUAGGCCGUCAAAACCUGGUCUUAAGGAAAGAACUGACUGUUAAAAUAGCAUUACAUCCUUCAUACAUUUAACUUAUGUAAAUGUAACUAUUCUUACUCAUCAAAAGAGUUUUCAGUGUGAGGCAGAAUGUAUUUU